RNAcentral lists this transfer RNA (68 nucleotides) under Marmota marmota marmota (Alpine marmot). It matches the Rfam family "tRNA". Rfam says of the family: Transfer RNA (tRNA) molecules are approximately 80 nucleotides in length. Their secondary structure includes four short double-helical elements and three loops (D, anti-codon, and T loops). Further hydrogen bonds mediate the characteristic L-shaped molecular structure. tRNAs have two regions of fundamental functional importance: the anti-codon, which is responsible for specific mRNA codon recognition, and the 3' end, to which the tRNAs corresponding amino acid is attached (by aminoacyl-tRNA synthetases). tRNAs cope with the degeneracy of the genetic code in two manners: having more than one tRNA (with a specific anti-codon) for a particular amino acid; and 'wobble' base-pairing, i.e. permitting non-standard base-pairing at the 3rd anti-codon position. Lineage: Eukaryota; Metazoa; Chordata; Mammalia; Rodentia; Sciuridae. The record is from Rfam by way of RNAcentral. RNAcentral also lists the same sequence under 1 other name.
GGUUUCUGGCUCAGUGGUAGAGCACUUGCCUAGCACACAUGAGGCACUGGGUUUGAUCCCCAGUACCA